GUGGGUAUAGCUCAGUUGGUUAGAGCGCCCGGCUCAUAACCGGUAGGUCUGGGGUUCGAGUCCCUNAGCUCCAUG
RNAcentral lists this transfer RNA (75 nucleotides) under Clostridioides difficile. RNAcentral describes it as "tRNA-Met(cat)". The stretch from base 8 to 66 matches the Rfam family "tRNA", at positions 8 to 63 of the family's 71-position model. Rfam says of the family: Transfer RNA (tRNA) molecules are approximately 80 nucleotides in length. Their secondary structure includes four short double-helical elements and three loops (D, anti-codon, and T loops). Further hydrogen bonds mediate the characteristic L-shaped molecular structure. tRNAs have two regions of fundamental functional importance: the anti-codon, which is responsible for specific mRNA codon recognition, and the 3' end, to which the tRNAs corresponding amino acid is attached (by aminoacyl-tRNA synthetases). tRNAs cope with the degeneracy of the genetic code in two manners: having more than one tRNA (with a specific anti-codon) for a particular amino acid; and 'wobble' base-pairing, i.e. permitting non-standard base-pairing at the 3rd anti-codon position. Lineage: Bacteria; Bacillati; Bacillota; Clostridia; Peptostreptococcales; Peptostreptococcaceae. The record is from RNAcentral.